Molecule: long non-coding RNA, 1015 nt
Organism: Brassica rapa (field mustard)
Lineage: Eukaryota; Viridiplantae; Streptophyta; Magnoliopsida; Brassicales; Brassicaceae
Source: RefSeq, a predicted model, not a curated record
GAAACGAUGCUGGCUGGUAGAGAUGUCAAAUGGGCCUCAUGUCCAUGGGUGAACCAUGUCCAAACCCAUUUGGACUAACCAAAUUAGACCCAUAAAUAAAGCUGUCCAAUUGGGUCGAUGUCCAAUAAAUCCCGAAUUCGAUGGGCUUAACCAUCUGGACAUGGGCGGCCCAAUGAUCUAAAAAAACUAGGGUUUUCAUUUGGGGAAAAAUUCAGAUCGUGAUUCUCUCUCUCUCAAACCGUCUCUCUCUCUCAGUCUCGAUUCUCUCUCUCUCGAUUCAGCGAACUCGGCGACGAUCCUCCUCUCUCGGCUCUCGAUCCGCCUCUCCCGACUCUCUAUCCGCCUCUCCCGACUCUCGAUCCGCCUCUCCCGACUCUCGAUCCGCCUCUCUCGACUCUCUAUCCGUCAACUUCUGAAAAGGGUUUGCGUUUAGGGUUCUUCGUUUCGCUUCAGUCUCGGGCCUUUCGGCUCUCUUAGUCUUCUAGAUCAAAGAAGCUCUCUCGUCCCGCCUCUCACUCGCGUCUGAAUCGUCUCCGAUCGAAGAACCAUAUACAUCUCCCGUCUCCGGCUCAAGCUCUCGUCUCUCAGCUUGAGUCUCACUCUCCUGGAUCGAAGAACAUUCGACCCUUUCACUCUCAGUGUCUCGAGUCUCUUACUUUCUCGCCUCUCAGAUGGAUACAUUGAGUUUGAACAAUGAUGAUGACUACAUGAGUGACAAUGGGGAUUCAGAACAGGAAAUGGACGAGAACAAUCCUGUGGUGGACGAGUCUCUGAUGAGUACAGCCGAGGUGAAAGGUAAACACAAGCGUAGACACUCUAAGUGCUGGAACUUUUUUACUAUAGAAGGAGAUAGGAUGCCUGAUGGAAAAUUUAAAUGCGUCUGCAACUACUGUAACCACUUCUACAUCAUAGACUUACAUAGAAGUGGAACCACUACUCUGCUUCGCCACUCAAGAACCUGCUCUAAAACCCCUAAUAAUACAUGUCCUAAGAUCAAUCAGCUGGUGUUUCGAGA